This 473-nucleotide ribosomal RNA is filed under the name uncultured organism. Its description in RNAcentral is "partial 16S ribosomal RNA". It matches the Rfam family "Bacterial small subunit ribosomal RNA", at positions 334 to 798 of the family's 1533-position model. The record is from RNAcentral.
CACUCCUGCGGGAGGCAGCAGUGGGGAAUUUUGGACAAUGGGCGAAAGCCUGAUCCAGCAAUGCCGCGUGUGUGAAGAAGGCCUUCGGGUUGUAAAGCACUUUUGUCCGGAAAGAAAUCCUUGGCUCUAAUACAGUCGGGGGAUGACGGUACCGGAAGAAUAAGCACCGGCUAACUACGUGCCAGCAGCCGCGGUAAUACGUAGGGUGCGAGCGUUAAUCGGAAUUACUGGGCGUAAAGCGUGCGCAGGCGGUUUGCUAAGACCGAUGUGAAAUCCCCGGGCUCAACCUGGGAACUGCAUUGGUGACUGGCAGGCUAGAGUAUGGCAGAGGGGGGUAGAAUUCCACGUGUAGCAGUGAAAUGCGUAGAGAUGUGGAGGAAUACCGACGGCGAAGGCAGCCCCCUGGGCCAAUACUGACGCUCAUGCACGAAAGCGUGGGGAGCAAACAGGAUUAGAAACCCUAGUAGUCCCAU